GCGGCGUGCCUAAUACAUGCAAGUAGAACGCUGAAGGAGGAGCUUGCUCUUCUGGAUGAGUUGCGAACGGGUGAGUAACGCGUAGGUAACCUGCCUGGUAGCGGGGGAUAACUAUUGGAAACGAUAGCUAAUACCGCAUAAGAGUAGAUGUUGCAUGACAUUUGCUUAAAAGGUGCAAUUGCAUCACUACCAGAUGGACCUGCGUUGUAUUAGCUAGUUGGUGGGGUAACGGCUCACCAAGGCGACGAUACAUAGCCGACCUGAGAGGGUGAUCGGCCACACUGGGACUGAGACACGGCCCAGACUCCUACGGGAGGCAGCAGUAGGGAAUCUUCGGCAAUGGACGGAAGUCUGACCGAGCAACGCCGCGUGAGUGAAGAAGGUUUUCGGAUCGUAAAGCUCUGUUGUAAGAGAAGAACGAGUGUGAGAGUGGAAAGUUCACACUGUGACG
Molecule: ribosomal RNA, 451 nt
Filed under: Streptococcus sp. oral taxon 064
Lineage: Bacteria; Bacillati; Bacillota; Bacilli; Lactobacillales; Streptococcaceae
Description: bacterial SSU rRNA
Rfam family: Bacterial small subunit ribosomal RNA
Source: RNAcentral